RNAcentral lists this ribosomal RNA (465 nucleotides) under uncultured bacterium. RNAcentral's name for it is "partial 16S ribosomal RNA". It matches the Rfam family "Bacterial small subunit ribosomal RNA", at positions 338 to 795 of the family's 1533-position model. The record is from RNAcentral.
CCUACGGGCGGCAGCAGUAGGGAAUCUUCCACAAUGGGCGAAAGCCUGAUGGAGCAACGCCGCGUGGGUGAAGAAGGUCUUCGGAUCGUAAAACCCUGUUGUUAGAGAAGAAAGUGCGUGAGAGUAACUGUUCACGUUUCGACGGUAUCUAACCAGAAAGCCACGGCUAACUACGUGCCAGCAGCCGCGGUAAUACGUAGGUGGCAAGCGUUAUCCGGAUUGAUUGGGCGUAAAGGGAACGCAGGCGGUCUUUUAAGUCUGAUGUGAAAGACUUCGGCUUAACCGGAGUAGUGCAUUGGAAACUGGGAGACUUGAGUGCAGAAGAGGAGAGUGGAACUCCAUGUGUAGCGGUGAAAUGCGUAGAUAUAUGGAAGAACACCAGUGGCGAAAGCGGCUCUCUGGUCUGUAACUGACGCUGAGGUUCGAAAGCGUGGGUAGCAAACAGGAUUAGAUACCCUGGUAGUC